CCCAAACAGUAUUGCACAACAUUUCCACCUUUUAAAAACCUUCGCCUCUCAGACUGCUCUGAGGUUGCAAUCAAAUCUAUUGGUGAAUUCAUUAUUAAUCAUUCAGAAUCAGAAUCUCUGUUAAAUACAAUCACCAAGGUGAGUGGGAGCAUUGAAAAUUUUGUUGCUUUAGAAAGUCUCUGGCUACAUAAGUCCAAAGCAGAAAAUAUACUGUGUCUCAAUGAAAUAGAAGGAGAACCAUUGAACUUAAGGUUGCGAUGGAUUUACUUAUACGAUCUGCAUUAUAUGAUGUACCUUUUU
Molecule: non-coding RNA, 300 nt
Organism: Vicia faba (fava bean)
Lineage: Eukaryota; Viridiplantae; Streptophyta; Magnoliopsida; Fabales; Fabaceae
Source: the annotation of a GenBank genome assembly